RNAcentral lists this ribosomal RNA (756 nucleotides) under uncultured Bacilli bacterium. RNAcentral's name for it is "bacterial SSU rRNA". It matches the Rfam family "Bacterial small subunit ribosomal RNA", at positions 25 to 756 of the family's 1533-position model. The record is from RNAcentral. Lineage: Bacteria; Bacillati; Bacillota; Bacilli.
CAGGACGAACGCUGGCGGCGUGCCUAAUACAUGCAAGUAGAACGCACAGUUUAUACCGUAGCUUGCUACACCAUAGACUGUGAGUUGCGAACGGGUGAGUAACGCGUAGGUAACCUGCCUGGUAGCGGGGGAUAACUAUUGGAAACGAUAGCUAAUACCGCAUAAUAUUAAUUAUUGCAUGAUAAUUGAUUGAAAGGUGCAAUUGCACCACUACCAGAUGGACCUGCGUUGUAUUAGCUAGUAGGUGAGGUAACGGCUCACCUAGGCGACGAUACAUAGCCGACCUGAGAGGGUGAUCGGCCACACUGGGACUGAGACACGGCCCAGACUCCUACGGGAGGCAGCAGUAGGGAAUCUUCGGCAAUGGACGAAAGUCUGACCGAGCAACGCCGCGUGAGUGAAGAAGGUUUUCGGAUCGUAAAGCUCUGUUGUAAGAGAAGAACGGGUGUGAGAGUGGAAAGUUCACACUGUGACGGUAUCUUACCAGAAAGGGACGGCUAACUACGUGCCAGCAGCCGCGGUAAUACGUAGGUCCCGAGCGUUGUCCGGAUUUAUUGGGCGUAAAGCGAGCGCAGGCGGUUAGAUAAGUCUGAAGUUAAAGGCUGUGGCUUAACCAUAGUACGCUUUGGAAACUGUUUAACUUGAGUGCAGAAGGGGAGAGUGGAAUUCCAUGUGUAGCGGUGAAAUGCGUAGAUAUAUGGAGGAACACCGGUGGCGAAAGCGGCUCUCUGGUCUGUAACUGACGCUGAGGCUCGA